Molecule: ribosomal RNA, 484 nt
Filed under: uncultured bacterium
Lineage: Bacteria
Description: partial 16S ribosomal RNA
Rfam family: Bacterial small subunit ribosomal RNA
Source: RNAcentral
AUUGAACGCUGGCGGCAGGCCUAACACAUGCAAGUCGAGCGGAUGAAGGGAACUUGCUCCUGGUUUCAGCGGCGGACGGGUGAGUAGUGCCUAGGAAUCUGCCUGGUAGUGGGGGAUAACGUCCGGAAACGGGCGCUAAUACCGCAUUCGUCCUGAGGGAGAAAGUGUGGGAUCUUCGGACCUCACGCUAUCAGAUGAGCCUAUGUCGGAUUAGCUAGUUGGUGGGGUAAAGGCCUACCAAGGCGACGAUCCGUAACUGGUCUGAGAGGAUGAUCAGUCACACUGGAACUGAGACACGGUCCAGACUCCUACGGGAGGCAGCAGUGGGGAAUAUUGGACAAUGGGCGAAAGCCUGAUCCAGCCAUGCCGCGUGUGUGAAGAAGGUCUUCGGAUUGUAAAGCACUUUAAGUUGGGAGGAAGGGCAGUAAGUUAAUACCUUGCUGUUUUGACGUUACCAACAGAAUAAGCACCGGCUAACUUCGUG